This 378-nucleotide unclassified non-coding RNA is filed under the name uncultured Actinomycetes bacterium. RNAcentral's name for it is "uncultured actinobacterium contains 16S-23S intergenic spacer region". Lineage: Bacteria; Bacillati; Actinomycetota; Actinomycetes. The record is from RNAcentral.
UCCGAGUUGACCCCGGCAGUCUCCCAUGAGUCCCCGGCAUGAUCCGCUGGCAACAUGGGACAGGGGUUGCGCUCGUUGCGCCACUUAAGGCAACACCUCACGGCACGAGCUGACGACGGCCAUGCAGCACCUGUGCGGGCUCCCGAAGGAGGACCGUAUUUCUACGGCUUCACCCCGCAUGUCAAGCCCUGGUAAGGUUCUUCGCGUCGCGUCGAAUUAAGCCACAUGCUCCGCCGCUUGUGCGGGCCCCCGUCAAUUCCUUUGAGUUUUAGCCUUGCGGCCGUAGUCCCCGGGCGGGGCACUUAAUGCGUUAGCUGCGGCACGGAGUCCGUUGAUAGAACCCCACACCUAGUGCCCAUCGUUUACGGCGUGGACUAC